GCAAGUCGAGCGGUAACAGGUGUAGCAAUACAUGCUGACGAGCGGCGAACGGGUGAGUAAUGCUUCGGAAUCUGCCCAAUGGUGGGGAAUAACCAGCCGAAAGGUUGGCUAAUACCGCAUAAGUCCUACGGGGGAAAGCAGGGGAUCGCAAGACCUUGCGCCGAUGGAUGAGCCGAAGUCGGAUUAGCUAGUUGGUAGGGUAACGGCCUACCAAGGCGACGAUCCGUAGCUGGUCUGAGAGGACGACCAGCCACACUGGGACUGAGACACGGCCCAGACUCCUACGGGAGGCAGCAGUGGGGAAUAUUGGACAAUGGGGGAAACCCUGAUCCAGCGACGCCGCGUGUGUGAAGAAGGCCUGCGGGUUGUAAAGCACUUUUAGUGGGGAUGAAAAGCUCAGGGCUAACACCUCUGGGUCUUGACCUAACCCAAAGAAAAAGCACCGGCUAACUCUGUGCCAGCAGCCGCGGUAAUACAGAGGGUGCGAGCGU
RNAcentral lists this ribosomal RNA (491 nucleotides) under uncultured bacterium. RNAcentral's name for it is "bacterial SSU rRNA". It matches the Rfam family "Bacterial small subunit ribosomal RNA", at positions 57 to 541 of the family's 1533-position model. The record is from RNAcentral.